GGCUAACGCUGGCGGCGUGUCUUAGCCAUGCAAGUCGAGCGGACUUAUGGGGUAACUUAUAAGUCAGCGGCGGACGGCGGAGUAACACGUAGCUAACCUACCCUCUGGACGGGGAUAACCUACCGAAAGGUGGGCUAAUACCCGAUGUAGUCAUCCUGUAUAGGGGUGAUGAAAGGUGGGCUUCUGUUUACAAGCUCAUGCUGGAGGAGGGGGCUGCGGCCUAUCAGGUAGUUGGUAGGGUAAUAGCCUACCAAGCCGAUGACGGGUAGCCGGCCUGAGAGGGUGACCGGCCCGAGGGGCACUGAGAUACGGGUCCCACUCCUACGGGAGGCAGCAGGCUAGAAAUUUGGGCAAUGGGGGAAACCCUGACCCAGUGACGCCGCGUGCAGGAAGGAGCCCUUCGGGGUGUAAACUGCUGUCGUGUAGGGAGAAGGGUACUAAGGUGAACAAUCUUAGUACUUGACGGUACUACAGGAGGAAGCCCAGGCUAACCUCGUGCCAGCAGCCGCGGUAAGAGUA
Molecule: ribosomal RNA, 519 nt
Filed under: uncultured bacterium
Lineage: Bacteria
Description: bacterial SSU rRNA
Rfam family: Bacterial small subunit ribosomal RNA
Source: RNAcentral